Oncorhynchus tshawytscha (Chinook salmon) is the source of this 266-nucleotide long non-coding RNA. NCBI's taxonomy places the organism in Eukaryota, Metazoa, Chordata, Actinopteri, Salmoniformes, Salmonidae. The record is from Ensembl.
GAAAAUGUGGGGUUGAAGCAACGUUACUGCUCUGUCCGGAACACUGAAGGACCUGAGCCCUAGGACCAUGCCUCAGGACUACCUGGCCUGAUGACUCCUUGCUGUCCCCAGUCCACCUGGUCGUGCUGCUGCUCCAGUUUCAACUGUUCUGCCUGCGGCUAUGGAACCCUGACCUGUUCACCGGACGUGCUACCUUGUCCCGGACCUGCUGUUUUCAACUCUCUCUCUCUACCAUACCUGCUGUCUCUAACUCUGAAUGAUCGGCU